CGGGUUGUGGCUUAGUGGUGGAGGGCUUGCCUAGCAUGCAUGAGGCACUGGGUUCGAUCCUCAGCACCACGU
This is a non-coding RNA of Ictidomys tridecemlineatus (thirteen-lined ground squirrel), 72 nucleotides long. The record is from Rfam. Lineage: Eukaryota; Metazoa; Chordata; Mammalia; Rodentia; Sciuridae.